GUCUCAGUAGCUCAGCUGGAUAGAGCAACGCCCUUCUAAGGCGUGUGUCGGGGGUUCGAAUCCCUCCUGGGACA
This 74-nucleotide transfer RNA is filed under the name compost metagenome. Its description in RNAcentral is "tRNA-Pyl". It matches the Rfam family "tRNA". Rfam says of the family: Transfer RNA (tRNA) molecules are approximately 80 nucleotides in length. The record is from RNAcentral.